Molecule: ribosomal RNA, 513 nt
Filed under: Trogoderma variabile
Lineage: Eukaryota; Metazoa; Arthropoda; Insecta; Coleoptera; Dermestidae
Description: SSU rRNA
Rfam family: Eukaryotic small subunit ribosomal RNA
Source: RNAcentral
AGCAGGCGCGCAAAUUACCCACUCCCGGCACGGGGAGGUAGUGACGAAAAAUAACGAUACGGGACUCAUCCGAGGCCCCGUAAUCGGAAUGAGUACACUUUAAAUCCUUUAACGAGGAUCAAUUGGAGGGCAAGUCUGGUGCCAGCAGCCGCGGUAAUUCCAGCUCCAAUAGCGUAUAUUAAAGUUGUUGCGGUUAAAAAGCUCGUAGUCGAAUUUGUGUCCCGCGCCGCCGGUUCAUCGCUCGCGGUGUCCAACUGGCGUGCCCGCGGGACGUCCUGCCGGUGGGCUUAGCUCGCGAGGGCGGCCCAACUGCAAAUCCCGCCGCGGUGCUCUUCACUGAGUGUCGAGGUGGGCCGGCACGUUUACUUUGAACAAAUUAGAGUGCUUAAAGCAGGCCAAAAUUUCGCCUGAAUACUCAGUGCAUGGAAUAAUGGAAUAGGACCUCGGUUCUAUUUUGUUGGUUUUCGGAACCCCGAGGUAAUGAUUAAUAGGAACGGAUGGGGGCAUUCGUAU